Non-coding RNA from Vigna angularis (adzuki bean), 108 nucleotides. The record is from Rfam. NCBI's taxonomy places the organism in Eukaryota, Viridiplantae, Streptophyta, Magnoliopsida, Fabales, Fabaceae.
AAACCAUGAUUGGGGCAUCUCCUCAACAAAGAAUUAAAUCGUUCCCAAGCUUCACAGAAUGGUUCAUCUUGUCCUUGCCUAAAAGUAGAAAUCUCAGUCUCUGGGUCA